Molecule: RNA transcript, 8163 nt
Organism: Cercocebus atys (sooty mangabey)
Lineage: Eukaryota; Metazoa; Chordata; Mammalia; Primates; Cercopithecidae
Gene: KDM5C
Gene name: lysine (K)-specific demethylase 5C
Exons: 28
Source: RefSeq, a predicted model, not a curated record
GGGGUGGUACUUUUGAGUAACCCCUUCCAAAUAGAACCCAUAGCAGCCUAUUUAGCUCGGUCUCCACUAUAUGAAGAUUUCCUAGGGCUUGGUGUGACGCAAGGUAUACGAGGCUCGGAAGGACACCGCGCGGAAGGAUCCGGUUUGUUGUGGUGUGGGGAGGGGGAGACGCUGACAAACCAAGAUGGCGGCGGCGGCGGCGAUGAAGGCCGCGGUGUUUGGGAGGUAACUGUGGUGGCGAAGGCUGCGGUAGUGGGGAGGCAACGACACAGUUUGGAAGAAACGGAGCAGGACGAAGAGGCGGUAGCAGUAGCGUCAGCUUGAGACUCUCAGAGCACGACGGCCACACGCCCCCCUAGGCCCUCGGCGGGCGGCGGCUGCCCCGCUUAGGGCCUAGCCUCCGAGCAUUGCCUCGGCUUCAAACAGCGGCGGCGCCAUGAGUCCUUAAGGGCGGUCCAAGCCCUCCUGAUCCCUGGCCCAGACCUAGGGCCCACCAUGGAGCCGGGGUCCGACGAUUUCCUACCGCCGCCGGAGUGCCCAGUGUUCGAGCCUAGCUGGGCCGAGUUCCGAGACCCUCUUGGCUACAUCGCGAAAAUCAGGCCCAUCGCAGAGAAAUCGGGCAUUUGCAAGAUCCGCCCACCUGCGGACUGGCAGCCACCCUUUGCUGUGGAAGUGGACAACUUCAGGUUUACCCCCCGAAUCCAGAGGCUGAAUGAGCUAGAGGCCCAGACGAGAGUGAAACUGAACUACUUGGACCAGAUUGCCAAAUUCUGGGAAAUCCAGGGCUCCUCCUUAAAGAUUCCCAAUGUAGAACGGCGGAUCUUGGACCUCUACAGUCUCAGCAAAAUUGUGGUGGAGGAAGGUGGUUAUGAAGCUAUCUGCAAGGACCGUCGGUGGGCUCGGGUAGCCCAGCGCCUCAACUACCCACCAGGCAAAAAUAUUGGCUCCUUGCUACGCUCCCACUACGAACGCAUUGUUUAUCCCUAUGAAAUGUACCAAUCUGGAGCCAACCUUGUGCAGUGUAACACACGUCCAUUUGAUAAUGAGGAGAAGGACAAGGAAUACAAACCCCACAGCAUCCCCCUACGACAGUCUGUGCAGCCUUCCAAGUUCAACAGCUAUGGCCGGCGGGCCAAGAGACUGCAGCCUGAUCCGGAACCCACAGAGGAAGACAUUGAAAAGAAUCCAGAGCUGAAAAAGCUACAGAUCUAUGGGGCAGGCCCCAAGAUGAUGGGCCUGGGCCUCAUGGCCAAGGACAAGACUCUGCGGAAGAAAGAUAAGGAGGGGCCCGAGUGUCCCCCCACAGUAGUGGUGAAGGAGGAGUUAGGUGGGGAUGUGAAGGUGGAGUCAACUUCGCCUAAGACCUUCCUGGAGAGCAAGGAGGAGCUGAGUCACAGCCCAGAACCCUGCACCAAGAUGACCAUGAGGCUGCGGAGGAACCACAGCAAUGCCCAGUUUAUUGAGUCAUAUGUCUGCCGGAUGUGUUCUCGAGGGGAUGAGGAUGACAAGCUCCUGCUGUGUGAUGGCUGUGAUGACAACUACCACAUCUUCUGCCUGCUGCCUCCUCUGCCUGAGAUCCCCAAGGGUGUCUGGCGGUGCCCAAAGUGUGUCAUGGCGGAGUGUAAGCGGCCCCCAGAAGCCUUUGGCUUUGAGCAGGCUACCCGGGAAUACACUCUGCAGAGCUUUGGCGAGAUGGCUGACUCCUUUAAAGCUGACUACUUCAACAUGCCCGUGCAUAUGGUGCCCACAGAACUUGUGGAGAAGGAGUUCUGGAGGCUGGUAAAUAGCAUUGAGGAAGAUGUGACUGUUGAGUAUGGAGCUGACAUCCAUUCCAAAGAAUUUGGCAGCGGUUUCCCUGUCAGUGACAGUAAACGGCACCUAACCCCUGAAGAGGAGGAGUAUGCUACCAGUGGUUGGAACCUAAAUGUGAUGCCGGUGUUGGAACAGUCUGUACUGUGCCACAUCAAUGCAGAUAUCUCUGGCAUGAAGGUGCCCUGGCUCUACGUGGGCAUGGUCUUCUCAGCCUUUUGCUGGCAUAUUGAGGAUCACUGGAGUUACUCCAUUAACUACCUCCACUGGGGUGAGCCGAAGACCUGGUAUGGAGUGCCCUCACUUGCAGCAGAACAUUUGGAAGAGGUGAUGAAGAAGCUGACACCUGAACUGUUUGAUAGCCAGCCUGACCUCCUGCACCAACUUGUCACCCUCAUGAAUCCCAACACCCUCAUGUCCCAUGGCGUGCCAGUUGUCCGCACAAACCAGUGUGCAGGAGAAUUUGUCAUCACCUUCCCCCGUGCUUACCACAGCGGCUUCAACCAAGGCUACAACUUUGCCGAGGCCGUCAACUUUUGCACUGCCGACUGGUUGCCUGCUGGGCGCCAGUGCAUUGAACACUACCGCCGGCUCCGGAGAUACUGCGUCUUCUCCCAUGAGGAGCUUAUCUGCAAGAUGGCUGCCUGCCCAGAGAAGCUAGACCUGAACCUGGCGGCAGCUGUGCAUAAGGAGAUGUUCAUCAUGGUGCAAGAAGAGCGGCGUCUACGAAAGGCCCUGCUGGAGAAGGGCAUCACAGAGGCUGAGCGAGAGGCUUUCGAGCUGCUCCCAGAUGAUGAGCGCCAGUGUAUCAAGUGCAAGACUACGUGUUUCCUGUCAGCCCUGGCCUGCUACGACUGCCCAGACGGCCUUGUCUGCCUUUCCCACAUCAAUGAUCUCUGCAAGUGCUCCAGUAGCCGGCAGUACCUGCGGUAUCGGUAUACGUUGGAUGAGCUUCCUGCCAUGCUGCAUAAGCUGAAGGUUCGGGCUGAGUCCUUUGACACCUGGGCCAACAAAGUGCGAGUGGCCCUGGAGGUGGAGGAUGGGCGGAAGCGCAGCCUUGAAGAACUGAGGGCACUAGAGUCUGAAGCCCGUGAGCGGAGGUUUCCUAAUAGUGAGCUGCUGCAGCAACUAAAGAACUGCCUGAGUGAGGCAGAGGCUUGCGUGUCCCGAGCUCUGGGACUGGUCAGCGGCCAGGAAGCUGGCCCCCACAGGGUGGCGGGUCUGCAGAUGACCCUGGCUGAGCUCCGGGCCUUUCUGGACCAGAUGAAUAACCUGCCUUGUGCCAUGCACCAGAUUGGGGAUGUCAAGGGUAUUCUGGAACAGGUGGAGGCCUUCCAGGCUGAGGCUCGUGAGGCCCUGGCCUCACUGCCCUCCAGUCCAGGGCUACUGCAGUCCCUGUUGGAGAGGGGGCGGCAGCUGGGGGUGGAGGUGCCUGAGGCCCAGCAGCUCCAGCGGCAGGUGGAACAGGCGCGAUGGCUGGAUGAGGUGAAACGCACACUGGCCCCCUCAGCCCGAAGGGGCACCUUGGCUGUCAUGCGAGGACUGUUGGUCGCGGGUGCCAGUGUAGCCCCUAGCCCUGCUGUGGAUAAAGCCCAGGCCGAGCUGCAGGAGUUGCUGACCAUUGCUGAACGCUGGGAGGAGAAAGCCCACCUCUGCCUGGAGGCCAGGCAGAAACAUCCACCAGCCACACUUGAGGCCAUAAUCCGUGAAGCGGAAAACAUCCCUGUUCACCUGCCCAACAUCCAGGCUCUCAAGGAGGCUCUUGCUAAGGCCCGGGCCUGGAUUGCUGAUGUUGAUGAGAUCCAAAAUGGUGACCACUACCCGUGCCUGGAUGACUUGGAGGGCCUAGUAGCUGUGGGCCGGGACCUACCUGUGGGGCUGGAGGAGCUGAGACAGCUAGAGCUACAGGUACUGACAGCGCACUCCUGGAGGGAGAAGGCCUCCAAGACCUUCCUCAAGAAAAAUUCUUGCUACACGCUGCUGGAGGUUCUCUGCCCGUGUGCAGACGCUGGCUCAGACAGCACCAAGCGCAGCCGGUGGAUGGAGAAGGAGCUGGGGUUGUACAAAUCUGACACAGAGUUGCUGGGGCUGUCUGCGCAGGACCUCAGGGACCCAGGCUCUGUGAUCGUGGCCUUCAAGGAGGGGGAACAGAAGGAGAAGGAGGGUAUCCUGCAGCUGCGUCGCACCAAUUCGGCCAAGCCCAGUCCACUGGCAUCAUCGACCACAGCUUCCUCUACAACCUCUAUCUGUGUGUGUGGGCAGGUGCCGGCUGGGGCGGGAGCUCUGCAGUGUGACCUGUGUCAGGACUGGUUCCAUGGGCGGUGUGUGUCAGUGCCUCGCCUCCUCAGCUCUCCGAGGCCCAAUCCCACCUCAUCCCUACUGCUGGCCUGGUGGGAAUGGGACACCAAAUUCCUGUGUCCACUGUGUAUGCGCUCAAGGCGCCCACGCCUGGAGACCAUCCUGGCACUGCUGGUAGCCCUGCAGAGACUGCCUGUGCGGCUGCCCGAGGGCGAGGCCCUGCAGUGCCUCACAGAGAGGGCCAUCAGCUGGCAAGGCCGCGCCAGGCAGGCUCUGGCUUCUGAAGAUGUGACUGCUCUGUUGGGACGGCUGACGGAGCUCCGCCAACAGCUACAGGCUGAACCCAGACCUGAGGAGCCUCCUAACUACCCUGCAGCCCCUGCUUCUGACCCCCUCAGAGAGGGCAGUGGCAAGGAUAUGCCUAAGGUCGAAGGCUUACUGGAGAAUGGAGACAGUGUGACCAGUCCUGAGAAGGUAGCCCUGGAGGAGGGCUCAGGUAAGAGAGAUCUGGAGCUGCUGUCCUCGCUGUUGCCACAGUUGACUGGCCCUGUGUUGGAACUGCCUGAGGCCACCCGGGCCCCCUUGGAGGAGCUCAUGAUGGAGGGGGACCUGCUCGAGGUGACCCUGGAUGAGAACCACAGCAUCUGGCAGCUGCUGCAGGCUGGACAGCCCCCAGACUUGGAGAGGAUCCGCACACUUCUGGAGCAAUGAAUGAGAGUUCCUGUUGCUCCACAUCCUCAUCAGCAUUUGGUAUUGUCGGUGUCCUGGAUUUUGGCCAUACUAAGAGUUCCUUUCUCAGGAAACCAAUCAUCAGGCCUCCCAGAGAGAAUCGAGGAUCUGAAACCUCCCAUAUCACCACAUCUAGACAAUGAGACACACCUGCUGCCUGUUGACAAACUCCUCUUCUUUAUACCUCCCGAAUUUCUGUUUUCCUGCAUAUGGUUACGUCCAAUAAGUCAGCGGCAUAGUGGCGCCCCAGAACAGGGACUUCGAGGACGUGAAUGAAGAAGGUCUGCUGGAGCAGAGGAACUGAAUUUGACAAGGCAAACGGGGACCCCGGGACGAGUCUGUCGGCAGUGGAUAUAAGGUCAGUGCCAUAAAGAGGUACUGGGAGCAGUGCUUUAAAGAAGUACUGGGAACGUAAAGUUUUCUGAAUCAGGGUAACAAGGGGAAGAAUUUGUCUAUUAAAGAAAAACAUUAUGUGCAGUUGCUUAAAGUUCUAUUGAGACAGUCUAGAGCUCAGGUUAAUUCGCAGACACUAACCUCCUGCAGAAGCCACAAAAGGUUAUUACACAUAACCCAUGGUUUCCACAGGCAGGCACUCUUGAUGUGGAAAAUUGGGAUAGGACAGGAGAAGGAUUAAAACAGGCUCAUCCAAAAGGUCUUAAAGUUGAUUCUUCUGUUUUCUCCCCUUGGAGUUUAAUUCGUACUGUACUUCUGCCAUUAUCUCCUUAUUAUUUUGCUGGACAGCAGGCUAAGUCUAAAAAUCUGAAAGAAUCUGUUGUCCCACCUACAGCUCCAAUUGAAAAUGAAAAACAGGAGAGGGAGGAUAAAAAUUGGCCUAUACCACCUCCUCCAAUUGCAGAAACAUCUGUACUGCCUCCUUUGGUAGCAGAAAUAGCCCAAUACAAAGAAUUUUACCGUCUUCUGCCAUAGCUGGAGAGCCCUUAGGACCUUGCCCUUUUCCUAUUUCUGUAAGGCCUGAUCCAAAUAAUCCACAGCAGGUUAUUCAUGAACACACUCCACUAGAGUUUAAGUUGUUAAAGGAAUUAAAAGUGAGGGUGGUAAAUAAUGGCGUACAAAGCCCAUUCACCUUAGGAUUGCUAGAAGCUGUGUUUGGUGCUAUGCAUCUUUUGCCCUUUGAUGUGAAACACUUGGCGCGAACUUGCGUGUCUGUGAGUGCAUAUCUGACAUGGAAUUUAAAUUGACAAAAAGUGUGUGCAAACCAGGCUAGACAGAACCGUGUUGCUGGACACGGAGACAUUACAGAGGAUAUGCUGUUAGGUAAUGGCCCUUACUCAGACCUGGAACGUCAACUGCUUAUCAGCAGUGUGCACAGGCUGCUAAAUAAGCCUGGGCCACAAUUCCUGAAGAGGGAGUCCCAGUACAAUCCUUUUUACAUAUCAUGCAAGGAUCACAGGAACCCUAUGUGCAAUUUCUUGCAAGAUUACAAGAGGCAGUGAAGCAUCAGAUUCCUCAUACCAUGGCUAACCUUAACUCUAGCUUUUGAGAAUGCAAACAUGCACUGGCACCGGGAAGGUGUACAAAAAACUUGGGAAAUUUUCUCAGAGCUUGUCAGGAUGUAGGAACUGAGCUUCAUCGGUCUGCAAUGUUAGCGCAAGCAAUGGCUAAUUUAGCAGUUGACAAAUCUAAAAGAAGCCAAGGGUGAAACCCUAAAAUGGGAAAAUGUUAUAAUUGUGGAAAGACUGGACAUUUUAAAAAGGAAUGUUGCCAGAUCUCAGGACAGAAAGGACCUUACAAUGCUGUUCCCCCCCACCCCCCAACCCCACUGGAAAAAACCCCACUGGAGGACUUUGUCCUCGCUGUAACAAAGGAAAUCACUGGACUAAUCAGUGCUGCUCAAAAUUUCAUCAAAAUGGCACCGCCCUGCCAGGAAAUGAGACAGGGGCCUGAACCCGGGCCCUGAACCCAGGCCCCACAAACAAUGAGGGCAUUCCCAGUACAGAUCUCAACCCCGUUUCAGGAAUGGGUUCCCGGAGGCACAUUGAUUCCCUCACCCCAGAAACACCAGGAAGCGUAGAAUUAAAUCUACCCACCAGAGGAAAAAAUCACAUUAGUUGGUGGAGACAAACCUAUCAAAGUUCCCACUGGUAUUUGGGGACCUUUACCAACAGGAUACAUGGGACUAAUUUUAGGCAAAAGCCAUCUUAACUUGCAAGGCAUCACUGUAGUCCCAGAAGUGAUGGACUCCGAUUAUGAAGGAGAAAUUCAAGUAGUUUUAAUGUCACAAAAUCUUUGGGGUUUUGAACCAGGAGAAUAUAUUGCUAAUUAUUGCUUAUUCCCUGCAAAUUACACCCUUCUCCACAAAAGGAGAAACGAGGAAAUAAAGGAUUUGGGAGCACAACUAUACAGGAAAUCUGUCUAUCCUAACCCAUAGCCUCUAAUAGACCCAUCUGUGUAGUACAAAUUAAAGAAAAGAAAUUUUAUGGGCUUAUGAAUACGGGAGCUGAUGUAUCAGUAAUAUUUAAAGACAAUUGGCCCCCAUCCUGGCCCUUACAAUUAACUUCUAUGUCCCUAGUGGGUAUAGGAACAGCUCAAAGUGUUCAACAAAGUGCUGAGAUUUUAUCUUGUUUUGGUCCAGAUGGACAGUCAUAUACUUUUCAGCCUUAUGUUGCAAAUAUAGCUAUCAAUUUAUGGGGUCGAGACUUACUUACAGCAUGGGAUAUGAAACUUACAAAUGAAAACUUUAAUAACCCAGGAUUUAAAAUGUUGAAAGACAUGGGAUAUCAAAAGGAAAAAGGUUUAAGAAAAUUUCUACAAUGAAAUCCUAACCCAAUAUCAGUAACUGGAAAAACAAAUAAAAAAGGGCUAGAAUGUCAGGAUUUCUGACGGGGAUCAUGAUAUUUCUCCUCUGCCCACUGCCUUACCAUUAGCAUGGCUUAGUGACAAACCUGUGUGGGUGGAUCAAAGGCCCCUAACACAUAAGACGCUAGAUCAACUUCAUCUGUUGGUAAAAGAGCAAUUAAAUGCAGAACAUAUAGAAAAGUCCCUAAAAUUCACCAGUAUUUGUUGUUCCAAAAAGGUCCAAAAACAAUAAUGACCUCUGGGGUUUCUGCUCAACGCUCAAAGCUAAUUGCAGUCAUUCAGGUUUUACAGCUCACAGCUUCAGAUCCUAUCAACAUUGUCUGUGAUUCAGUUUAGGUUAUAAAUGUAGCCAGUUGCAUAAAAACUGCUACAAUUAGAAGUACACUAGACCCUGAACUGCUUAAUUUAUUUUUAAGACUUCAAUAAGUUAUUUGUUCUCGUACAGCUCCUUUUCAUAUUUCUCAUAUUCACUUUUUUUUUUUUUUUUGAGACGGAGUCUCGCUCUGUCGC